GCCUGGCUAGCUCAGUCGGUAGAGCAUGAGACUCUUAUUGAUCUCAGGGUCGGGGGUUCGAGCCCCCCGUUGGGCG
This 76-nucleotide transfer RNA is filed under the name Daphnia pulex (common water flea). It matches the Rfam family "tRNA". From Rfam's summary of the family: Transfer RNA (tRNA) molecules are approximately 80 nucleotides in length. The record is from Rfam by way of RNAcentral. Lineage: Eukaryota; Metazoa; Arthropoda; Branchiopoda; Diplostraca; Daphniidae.